This 79-nucleotide ribosomal RNA is filed under the name Flavobacteriaceae bacterium. The record is from RNAcentral. Lineage: Bacteria; Pseudomonadati; Bacteroidota; Flavobacteriia; Flavobacteriales; Flavobacteriaceae.
CUUACCAUUCCGAACAGAGAAGUUAAGCCCAUUUGCGCCAAUGGUACUACAAUCGUGGGAGAGUAGGUCGCCGCCUUUC